UACGUAGGGGGCAAGCGUUGUCCGGAUUUAUUGGGCGUAAAGAGCGUGUAGGCGGCUUGGUAGGUCUUGCGUCAAAACCUGAGGCUCAACCUCAGUUCGCGUGGGAAACCACCUAGCUAGAGUUCGGAAGAGGAGAACGGAAUUCCCAGUGUAGCGGUGAAAUGCGCAGAUAUUGGGAAGAACACCAGUGGCGAAGGCGGUUCUCUGGGACGGUACUGACGCUGAGACGCGAAAGCGUGGGGAGCGAACAGG
This 252-nucleotide ribosomal RNA is filed under the name uncultured bacterium. RNAcentral's name for it is "partial 16S ribosomal RNA". It matches the Rfam family "Bacterial small subunit ribosomal RNA", at positions 524 to 776 of the family's 1533-position model. The record is from RNAcentral.